UUUCCGGUUGAUCCCGCCGGACCUGACUGCUAUCGGAUUGAUACUAAGCCAUGCGAGUCUUUGCAGUAAUGCAAGGCAUACGGCUCAGUAACACGUAGUCAACUUAUCCUAUGGACGAGGAUAAUCUCGGGAAACUGAGCAUAAUACUCGAUAGAUCAUAAUGCCUGGAAUGGUUUAUGGUUGAAAUGAUUCGUCGCCAUAGGAUGGGACUGCGGCCUAUCAGCUUGUUGGUGAGGUAAUGGCCCACCAAGGCGAUUACAGGUACGGGCUCUGAGAGGAGAAGCCCGGAGAUGGGUACUGAGACAAGGACCCAGGCCCUAUGGGGCGCAGCAGGCGAGAAAACUUUGCAAUGUGCGAAAGCACGACAAGGUUAAUCCGAGUGAUUUCUGCUAAAGAAAUCUUUUGCAAGUCAUAAAACCACUAGUGAAUAAGGGGUGGGCAAGUUCUGGUGUCAGCCGCCGCGGUAAAGCCAGCACCUCAAGUGGUCAGGAGGAUUAUUGGGCCUAAAGCAUCCGUAGCCGGCUCUGUAAGUUUUCGGUUAAAUCCAUGUGCUCAACGCAUGGGCUGCCGAAAAUACUGCAUAGCUAGGGAGUGGGAGAGGUAGACGGUACUCAGUAGGAAGGGGUAAAAUCCUUUGAUCUAUUGAUGACCACCUGUGGCGAAGGCGGUCUACCAGAACACGUUCGACGGUGAGGGAUGAAAGCUGGGGGAGCAAACCGGAUUAGAUACCCGGGUAGUCCCAGCUGUAAACGAUGCAGACUCGAUGAUGCAUUGGCAUAUAGCCAGUGCAGUGUCGCAGGGAAGCCGUUAAGUCUGCCGCCUGGGAAGUACGUACGCAAGUAUGAAACUUAAAGGAAUUGGCGGGGGAGCACCACAAGGGGUGAAGCCUGCGGUUCAAUUGGAUUCAACGCCGGG
Molecule: ribosomal RNA, 915 nt
Filed under: uncultured archaeon
Lineage: Archaea
Description: SSU rRNA
Rfam family: Archaeal small subunit ribosomal RNA
Source: RNAcentral